Molecule: long non-coding RNA, 1236 nt
Organism: Episyrphus balteatus (marmalade hoverfly)
Lineage: Eukaryota; Metazoa; Arthropoda; Insecta; Diptera; Syrphidae
Exons: 3
Source: RefSeq, a predicted model, not a curated record
CAGUAGCACCUGUCAUCUUUGAAGUGUACUUUUUGACGUAUUGGAAGAAUUCUUUUCAAUUUCAAAAAAAGUAGGUAAAUAAAAAUUUUUGUGAAAAGAAAAAUGUCGGUAUCAAAAUGAAAUCAUGCUGAAAAAAGAUGCAAAUUUUUUAUCACAUGGAAUUUGUCUUGGAUGGAAGGCAGAUUUGCAACCUGGACAGACGCCCCCAUUUAUAUCCAUAAGUCUAGUGCCACGAAGCAUCAACAACAGCAUCUAAAACAGCAACAUCAACUACAACAACUGCUGACUCCUGAUAUGAUGCGCCAUUCCAUUUUUUCAUAAAUCUCGGCUGCAGAAAUUAAUUCGAGGACAAGCACAAGAUGCAAAUAUAUCACAUGGAAUGAAUGAAACAAAUAAUGGACACAGAGCCUCCGCCAAAAGUACAAAUAUUCUCUGGCUCAAUUGGAACAAUCGCCUAUACAGCCAGGGCAACAAAUGUCCGAAAUGGGAUCUAACGUAAAGUUAAGGAAUUGAAUAAAUACUUCAAAUAUGAGAUUUUCUACUCAACGCUUUUUUUAUAUUUCCAGUUCCUACGGAAUACUUCCAACAUUUAGAUCACAUUGGCCAACGUGUGGACAAUGUAAAUCGUGACAAUCGUAAACAGUUGGAAUGAUUUGGGAGCGAGAAAUAGCUCAGAGAUGCUGAACAUUUUGGGUAACUUUGUCAAUCGAGCUUUGGUGUUCUGUGAAAAGAACUACGACUCGACCAUUCCACCGAUGACUUUGACUUUGAAACAAAGCAAAGCAGAUAAGUCAGUUUGACUCCUACUCCCGCAAAUGAUGACAACAAAAUCAAAGAACUUGAAGAAAAAAUUGCAAAACAGGGUGAAAAAGUUCGAGAACUAAAGAGUUCAUCUGAUACUGCCGUUUGGAAGUUCUCGAGAAGGAACUUUCUGCCAUUACUGGUGUAACAGAAUCAACAGCUUCAGGAAAGAACAAGAAGAAGAAAUGAUUAAGUACUACUUAAGAAAUUAACAAAAAACCAAAACUAUUUUUGUCUAAGAAAUUUCUUUAUUUUUUGUUUUUACGUGGCUGGAUCAUGGGGGUUGCGGGUGCUCGCCGCCCAUGGAUUCUUGCAGUAAGGGCCUUAAGUCAAUAAAAUCCCAAUUUUUUAAUGAAAAUUAAACAAUAAAUAAUAAUGUACAUGUUUUUCGAAUAAAAAAAAACUGAGUAAAACAAUAAAAACUCCAUAAAUUAA